Molecule: ribosomal RNA, 301 nt
Filed under: uncultured bacterium
Lineage: Bacteria
Description: partial 16S ribosomal RNA
Rfam family: Bacterial small subunit ribosomal RNA
Source: RNAcentral
CAGUCGCCGCGGGAAUACGAAGGGGGCUAGCGUUGUUCGGAUUUACUGGGCGUAAAGCGCACGUAGGCGGACUUUUAAGUCAGGGGUGAAAUCCCGGGGCUCAACCCCGGAACUGCCUUUGAUACUGGGAGUCUUGAGUUCGAGAGAGGUGAGUGGAAUUGCGAGUGUAGAGGUGAAAUUCGUAGAUAUUCGCAGGAACACCAGUGGCGAAGGCGGCUCACUGGCUCGAUACUGACGCUGAGGUGCGAAAGCGUGGGGAGCAAACAGGAUUAGAUACCCCCGGUAGUCCCUGUCUCUUAUA